Molecule: ribosomal RNA, 477 nt
Filed under: Enterobacter hormaechei
Lineage: Bacteria; Pseudomonadati; Pseudomonadota; Gammaproteobacteria; Enterobacterales; Enterobacteriaceae
Also listed under: 1 other name
Description: partial 23S ribosomal RNA
Rfam family: Bacterial large subunit ribosomal RNA
Source: RNAcentral
GUGGGUAGUUUGACUGGGGCGGUCUCCUCCCAAAGAGUAACGGAGGAGCACGAAGGUUGGCUAAUCCUGGUCGGACAUCAGGAGGUUAGUGCAAUGGCAUAAGCCAGCUUGACUGCGAGCGUGACGGCGCGAGCAGGUGCGAAAGCAGGUCAUAGUGAUCCGGUGGUUCUGAAUGGAAGGGCCAUCGCUCAACGGAUAAAAGGUACUCCGGGGAUAACAGGCUGAUACCGCCCAAGAGUUCAUAUCGACGGCGGUGUUUGGCACCUCGAUGUCGGCUCAUCACAUCCUGGGGCUGAAGUAGGUCCCAAGGGUAUGGCUGUUCGCCAUUUAAAGUGGUACGCGAGCUGGGUUUAGAACGUCGUGAGACAGUUCGGUCCCUAUCUGCCGUGGGCGCUGGAGAAUUGAGGGGGGCUGCUCCUAGUACGAGAGGACCGGAGUGGACGCAUCACUGGUGUUCGGGUUGUCAUGCCAAUGGCA